CAUCACCAGGGCGAAGGUAAUCGUGAACGGCCCAGCGGACGGCAAAGGCACUCUCGUCAGAAAGGUCGACGGCGACGCCGAUCUUGCGGCGGGCGCCGGCGGUGGGAGUCGGAGUAGCAGCGGUGGAAGGUGUGGAGGUGUGAUGGGGGUGGCGAGGGGAGGGUGGGUGGUGGAUCUUGAUGGUGGGGAGUUGAGGGUGGUCAGCGUCUUGGCCUGGAGGAUUCAUUUCCGGUCUGCGAGGAGGAAGAGGAAUAACUACGCUACGCGAUCUAGGGAUAAUCUCGAAAACCAAGACUGUCUGGUUUUUACCCUUUUCUUUGAUUAUCUGCGUUAAUUGAGUUGCAGAGAGGGA
RNAcentral lists this long non-coding RNA (352 nucleotides) under Carica papaya (papaya). RNAcentral's name for it is "long non-coding RNA (CPAP_LNC011748)". Lineage: Eukaryota; Viridiplantae; Streptophyta; Magnoliopsida; Brassicales; Caricaceae. The record is from RNAcentral.